Molecule: small nuclear RNA, 114 nt
Organism: Monodelphis domestica (gray short-tailed opossum)
Lineage: Eukaryota; Metazoa; Chordata; Mammalia; Didelphimorphia; Didelphidae
Rfam family: U4 spliceosomal RNA
About the family: U4 small nuclear RNA (U4 snRNA) is a component of the major U2-dependent spliceosome. The structure of U4 snRNA from yeast and human has been reported.
Source: Rfam
AGCUUUGCACAGUGGCAGUAUUGUAGCCAAUGAUGUUUAUUGGAGGCAUGAUUAUUGCUAACAGAAAACUGAAAAGUCUGACCAAAUGGGAAAUAAUAUUGGAAAUAAAUAUAG